RNAcentral lists this ribosomal RNA (1394 nucleotides) under uncultured bacterium. RNAcentral's name for it is "bacterial SSU rRNA". It matches the Rfam family "Bacterial small subunit ribosomal RNA". The record is from RNAcentral.
AGAGUUUGAUCCUGGCUCAGGAUGAACGCUAGCUACAGGCUUAACACAUGCAAGUCGAGGGGCAGCGCAGUGUAGCAAUACACGGGCGGCGACCGGCGCACGGGUGCGUAACGCGUAUCCAACCUUCCCGUUACUCCGGGAUAGCCCUCCGAAAGGGGGAUUAAUACCGGAUGGUGUUCAAAUAUCUCAUGUUAUUUGAACUAAAGAUUUAUCGGUAACGGAUGGGGAUGCGUUCCAUUAGCUUGUUGGCGGGGUAACGGCCCACCAAGGCAACGAUGGAUAGGGGUUCUGAGAGGAAGAUCCCCCACACUGGAACUGAGACACGGUCCAGACUCCUACGGGAGGCAGCAGUGAGGAAUACUGGUCAAUGGGCGGAAGCCUGAACCAGCCAAGUAGCGUGAAGGAUGAAGGUUCUAUGGAUUGUAAACUUCUUUUAUACGGGAAUAAUUCCACCCACGUGUGGGUGUUUGUAUGUACCGUAUGAAUAAGCAUCGGCUAACUCCGUGCCAGCAGCCGCGGUAAUACGGAGGAUGCGAGCGUUAUCCGGAUUUAUUGGGUUUAAAGGGAGCGUAGACGGGGGAUUAAGUCAGUUGUGAAAGGCUGUGGCUCAACCUCAGCACUGCAGUUGAUACUGGUUCCCUUGAGUGCGGUUGAGGUAUGUGGAAUUCGUGGUGUAGCGGUGAAAUGCGUAGAUAUCGGGAGGAACACCAGUGGCGAAGGCGGUUUACUGGACCAUUACUGACGCUGAGACACGAAAGCGUGGGGAGCAAACAGGAUUAGAUACCCUGGUAGUCCACGCUGUAAACGAUGAACACUAGGUGUAGGGGAGCAAUCCUCUGUGCCGCAGUUAACACAAUAAGUGUUCCACCUGGGGAGUACGGCCGCAAGGUUGAAACUCAAAGGAAUUGACGGGGGCCCGCACAAGCGGAGGAACAUGUGGUUUAAUUCGAUGAUACGCGAGGAACCUUACCCGGGCUCGAACGGCAGAUGAAUAUGGGAGAGAUUUCAUAGUCUUCGGACAUCUGUCGAGGUGCUGCAUGGUUGUCGUCAGCUCGUGCUGUGAAGUGUCGGCUUAAGUGCCAUAACGAGCGCAACCCUUGCCGUCAGUUGCCAUCAGGUAAUGCUGGGGACUCUGGCGGGACUGCCACCGCAAGGUGUGAGGAAGGGGGGGAUGACGUCAAAUCAGCACGGCCCUUACGUCCGGGGCGACACACGUGUUACAAUGGUGGGUACAGAGGGAAGCUACCUGGCGACAGGAUGCAGAUCUCGAAAACCCAUCCCAGUUCGGAUUGGAGUCUGCAACCCGACUCCAUGAAGUUGGAUUCGCUAGUAAUCGCGCAUCAGCCAUGGCGCGGUGAAUACGUUCCCGGGCCUUGUACACACCGCCCGUCAAG